AGUGAACGCUGGCGGUAGGCCUAACACAUGCAAGUCGAACGGCAGCACAGUAAGAGCUUGCUCUUACGGGUGGCGAGUGGCGGACGGGUGAGGAAUACAUCGGAAUCUACUUUUUCGUGGGGGAUAACGUAGGGAAACUUACGCUAAUACCGCAUACGACCUACGGGUGAAAGCAGGGGAACUUCGGACCUUGCGCGAUUGAAUGAGCCGAUGUCGGAUUAGCUAGUUGGCGGGGUAAAGGCCCACCAAGGCGACGAUCCGUAGCUGGUCUGAGAGGAUGAGCAGCCACACUGGAACUGAGAGACGGUCCAGACUCCUACGAGAGGCAGCAGUGGGGAAUAUUGGACAAUGGGCGCAAGCCUGAUCCAGCCAUACCGCGUGGGUGAAGAAGGCCUUCGGGUUGUAAAGCCCUUUUGUUGGGAAAGAAAAGCAGCAGGUUAAUACCCCGCUGUUCUGACGGUACCCAAAGAAUAAGCACCGGCUAACUUCG
This 490-nucleotide ribosomal RNA is filed under the name uncultured bacterium. Its description in RNAcentral is "partial 16S ribosomal RNA". It matches the Rfam family "Bacterial small subunit ribosomal RNA", at positions 29 to 505 of the family's 1533-position model. The record is from RNAcentral.